Molecule: ribosomal RNA, 484 nt
Filed under: uncultured bacterium
Lineage: Bacteria
Description: partial 16S ribosomal RNA
Rfam family: Bacterial small subunit ribosomal RNA
Source: RNAcentral
GACGAACGCUGGCGGCGUGCUUAACACAUUCAAGUCGAACGAUGAAGCCGGAGCUUGCUCUGGUGAAUUAGUGGCGAACGGGUGAGUAACACGUGAGUAACCUGCCCUUGACUCUGGGAUAACUGCGGGAAACUGUAGCUAACACCGGAUACGACCCUCGGAGGCAGCUGCUGGGGGUGGAAAGAAUUUCGGUGAAGGAUGUACUCGCGGCCUAUCAGCUAGUUGGUGAGGUAAAGGCUCACCAAGGGGACGACGGGUAGCCGGCCUGAGAGGGUGACCGGCCACACUGGGACUGAGACACGGCCCAGACUCCUACGGGAGGCAGCAGUGGGGAGUAUUGCACAAUGGGCGCAAGCCUGAUGCAGCAACGCCGCGUGAGAGAAGACGGCCUUCGGGUUGUAAACCUCUUUUAGCAGAGAAGAAGCGAAAGUGACGGUACCUGCAGAAAAAGCACCGGCUAACUACGUGCCAGCAGCCGCAGUAA